RNAcentral lists this ribosomal RNA (396 nucleotides) under uncultured bacterium. RNAcentral describes it as "partial 16S ribosomal RNA". It matches the Rfam family "Bacterial small subunit ribosomal RNA", at positions 523 to 918 of the family's 1533-position model. The record is from RNAcentral.
AUACGUAGGUGGCGAGCGUUGUCCGGAAUUAUUGGGCGUAAAGAGCAUGUAGGCGGCUUAAUAAGUCGAGCGUGAAAAUGCGGGGCUCAACCCCGUAUGGCGCUGGAAACUGUUAGGCUUGAGUGCAGGAGAGGAAAGGGGAAUUCCCAGUGUAGCGGUGAAAUGCGUAGAUAUUGGGAGGAACACCAGUGGCGAAGGCGCCUUUCUGGACUGUGUCUGACGCUGAGAUGCGAAAGCCAGGGUAGCGAACGGGAUUAGAUACCCCGGUAGUCCUGGCCGUAAACGAUGGGUACUAGGUGUAGGAGGUAUCGACCCCUUCUGUGCCGGAGUUAACGCAAUAAGUCCCCCGCCUGGGGAGUACGGCCGCAAGGUUGAAACUCAAAUGAAUUGACGGGG